GCGGGGAUGCCCGAGCUUGGCCAAAGGGGGCAGGUUCAGGCCCUGCUGGUGAAGACCUGCGUGGGUUCAAGUCCCACUCCCCGCA
Molecule: transfer RNA, 85 nt
Organism: Candidatus Acidianus copahuensis
Lineage: Archaea; Thermoproteati; Thermoproteota; Thermoprotei; Sulfolobales; Sulfolobaceae
Rfam family: tRNA
About the family: Transfer RNA (tRNA) molecules are approximately 80 nucleotides in length. Their secondary structure includes four short double-helical elements and three loops (D, anti-codon, and T loops).
Source: Rfam